UAAAUGUUGGCCGGCUGAGAAAUAAAGAGU
RNAcentral lists this non-coding RNA (30 nucleotides) under Homo sapiens (human). The record is from RNAcentral. Lineage: Eukaryota; Metazoa; Chordata; Mammalia; Primates; Hominidae.